Molecule: non-coding RNA, 110 nt
Organism: Acanthosepion pharaonis
Lineage: Eukaryota; Metazoa; Mollusca; Cephalopoda; Sepiida; Sepiidae
Source: the annotation of a GenBank genome assembly
GGCCAUAUAGUUUUGAAAUAUGGGUUCCCGUACGAUCGCCGAAGUUAAGCAACGUCGAGCCUGGUCUUUACCUAGAUGGGUAACUGCCUGGGAAUACCAGGUUCUGUAAG